AGUGAACGCUGGCGGUAGGCCUAACACAUGCAAGUCGAACGGCAGCACAGUAAGAGCUUGCUCUUACGGGUGGCGAGUGGCGGACGGGCGAGGAAUACAUCGGAAUCUACUUUUUCGUGGGGGAUAACGUAGGGAAACUUACGCUAAUACCGCAUACGACCUACGGGUGAAAGCAGUGGAUCUUCGGACCUUGCGCGAUUGAAUGAGCCGAUGUCGGAUUAGCUAGUUGGCGGGGUAAAGGCCCACCAAGGCGACGAUCCGUAGCUGGUCUGAGAGGAUGAUCAGCCACACUGGAACUGAGACACGGUCCAGACUCCUACGGGAGGCAGCAGUGGGGAAUAUUGGACAAUGGGCGCAAGCCUGAUCCAGCCAUACCGCGUGGGUGAAGAAGGCCUUCGGGUUGUAAAGCCCUUUUGUUGGGAAAGAAAAGCAGCAGGUUAAUACCCCGCUGUUCUGACGGUACCCAAAGAAUAAGCACCGGCUAACUUCGUG
Molecule: ribosomal RNA, 492 nt
Filed under: uncultured bacterium
Lineage: Bacteria
Description: partial 16S ribosomal RNA
Rfam family: Bacterial small subunit ribosomal RNA
Source: RNAcentral